AUGGAACAACCCCCGCGUGAAUGAAGAAGGUUUUAGGAUCGUAAAACUCUGUUGUUGGAGAAGAACAGGGACUAGAGUAACUGUUAGUCCUUUGACGGUAUCCAACCAGAAAGCCACGGCUAACUACGUGCCAGCAGCCGCGGUAAUACGUAGGUGGCAAGCGUUGUCCGGAUUUAUUGGGCGUAAAGCGAGCGCAGGCGGUUUUUUAAGUCUGAUGUGAAAGCCUUCGGCUUAACCGAAGAAGUGCAUUAGAAACUGGAAAACUUGAGUGCAGAAGAGGACAGUGGAACUCCAUGUGUAGCGGUGAAAUGCGUAGAUAUAUGGAAGAACACCAGUGGCGAAGGCGGCUGUCUGGUCUGUAACUGACGCUGAGGCUCGAAAGUAUGGGGAGCGAACAGGAUUAGAUACCCUGGUAGUCCAUACCGUAAACGAUGAAUGCUAAGUGUUGGAGGGUUUCCGCCCUUCAGUGCUGCAGCUAACGCAUUAAGCAUUCCGCCUGGGGAGUACGACCGCAAGGUUGAAACUCAAAGGAAUUGACGGGGGCCCGCACAAGCGGUGGAGCAUGUGGUUUAAUUCGAAGCAACGCGAAGAACCUUACCAGGUCUUGACAUCCUUUGACCACUGUAGAGAUACAGCUUUCCCUUCGGGGACAAAGUGACAGGUGGUGCAUGGUUGUCGUCAGCUCGUGUCGUGAGAUGUUGGGUUAAGUCCCGCAACGAGCGCAACCCUUAUGACUAGUUGCCAGCAUUUAGUUGGGCACUCUAGUAAGACUGCCGGUGACAAACCGGAGGAAGGUGGGGAUGACGUCAAAUCAGCAUGCCCCUUAUGACCUGGGCUACACACGUGCUACAAUGGUCGGUACAACGAGUUGCGAACCCGCGAGGGUAAGCUAAUCUCUUAAAGCCGAUCUCAGUUCGGAUUGUAGGCUGCAACUCGCCUACAUGAAGCCGGAAUCGCUAGUAAUCGCGGAUCAGCACGCCGCGGUGAAUACGUUCCCGGGCCUUGUACACACCGCCCGUCACACCAUGAGAGUUUGUAACACCCGAAAGUCGGUGGGGUAACCCUUUUAGGGAACUAGCCGCCUAAGUGACAGAGGUUGU
Molecule: ribosomal RNA, 1100 nt
Filed under: Loigolactobacillus coryniformis
Lineage: Bacteria; Bacillati; Bacillota; Bacilli; Lactobacillales; Lactobacillaceae
Description: bacterial SSU rRNA
Rfam family: Bacterial small subunit ribosomal RNA
Source: RNAcentral